AACAAAUGAAACAACAUCUUGAUGUAAAUAAAAGAAACACCAACUAAAUGUAAACAAAUGAAACAACUUGAUGUACAAUACAGUAAAGUUGGGAUUCAACGAACUAACUAAUUAAGUAGGACGGAUUACAACUUGAUGUAAACAAAAGAAACAACUAAGUAUGGGCAUGUGGAUUGUAGUCUUCGUCAUCGGGAUCAACUAGAAGAGCCGCAUCAAGAUCACUCUCAACAUCACUAUCAACAUUGGCCUGUUCCUCAUCGUCGUCGUCACCAUCACCAUCAACCUCGUCACCUUCACCGUCAUUGUCUACUUCCGUGCCCGGAGAAUCGGUA
Molecule: long non-coding RNA, 332 nt
Filed under: Brachypodium distachyon (stiff brome)
Lineage: Eukaryota; Viridiplantae; Streptophyta; Magnoliopsida; Poales; Poaceae
Description: long non-coding RNA (BDIS_LNC004535)
Source: RNAcentral